This 712-nucleotide ribosomal RNA is filed under the name uncultured bacterium. RNAcentral's name for it is "bacterial SSU rRNA". It matches the Rfam family "Bacterial small subunit ribosomal RNA", at positions 323 to 1024 of the family's 1533-position model. The record is from RNAcentral.
CCCGGGGAUCCGAUUCCUACGGGAGGCAGCAGUGGGCGAAACUGGACAAUGGGCGCAAGCCUGAUCCAGCAAUGCCGCGUGAGUGAAGAAGGCCUUCGGGUUGUAAAGCUCUUUUGUCAGGGAAGAAACGGCUGUGGCUAAUAUCCACGGCUAAUGACGGUACCUGAAGAAUAAGCACCGGCUAACUACGUGCCAGCAGCCGCGGUAAUACGUAGGGUGCAAGCGUUAAUCGGAAUUACUGGGCGUAAAGCGUGCGCAGGCGGUUUUGUAAGUCUGACGUGAAAUCCCCGGGCUCAACCUGGGAAUUGCGUUGGAGACUGCAAGGCUAGAAUCUGGCAGAGGGGGGUAGAAUUCCACGUGUAGCAGUGAAAUGCGUAGAGAUGUGGAGGAACACCGAUGGCGAAGGCAGCCCCCUGGGUCAAGAUUGACGCUCAUGCACGAAAGCGUGGGGAGCAAACAGGAUUAGAUACCCUGGUAGUCCACGCCCUAAACGAUGUCUACUAGUUGUCGGGUUUUAAUUAACUUGGUAACGCAGCUAACGCGUGAAGUAGACCGCCUGGGGAGUACGGUCGCAAGAUUAAAACUCAAAGGAAUUGACGGGGACCCGCACAAGCGGUGGAUGAUGUGGAUUAAUUCGAUGCAACGCGAAAAACCUUACCUACCCUUGACAUGUCAGGAAGACCGGAGAGAUCUGGUUGUGCCAUCCAUAUGA